Molecule: ribosomal RNA, 444 nt
Filed under: uncultured bacterium
Lineage: Bacteria
Description: SSU rRNA
Rfam family: Bacterial small subunit ribosomal RNA
Source: RNAcentral
AGAGCGAACGCUGGCGGCAGGCCUAAUACAUGCAAGUCGAACGGAUCCUUCGGGAUUAGUGGCGGACGGGUGAGUAACACGUGGGAACGUGCCCUUUGGUUCAGAACAACUCAGGGAAACUUGAGCUAAUACUGGAUAAGCCCUUCGGGGGAAAGAUUUAUCGCCAUUGGAGCGGCCCGCGUCUGAUUAGCUAGUUGGUAGGGUAAAGGCCUACCAAGGCUACGAUCAGUAGCUGGUCUGAGAGGAUGAUCAGCCACACUGGGACUGAGACACGGCCCAGACUCCUACGGGAGGCAGCAGUAGGGAAUCUUGCGCAAUGGGCGAAAGCCUGACGCAGCCAUGCCGCGUGAAUGAUGAAGGUCUUAGGAUUGUAAAAUUCUUUCAGCGGGGACAUAAUGACGGUACCCGCAGAGAAGCCCCGGCUAACUUCGUGCCAGCAGCCGC